CGAAAGCCUGACGGAGCAAUACCGCGUGAGGGAGGAAGGCUCUUGGGUUGUAAACCUCUUUUCUCAGGGAAGAAUAAAUGACGGUACCUGAGGAAUCAGCAUCGGCUAACUCCGUGCCAGCAGCCGCGGUAAUACGGAGGAUGCAAGCGUUAUCCGGAAUGAUUGGGCGUAAAGCGUCCGCAGGUGGCAUUGAAAGUCUGCUCUCAAAGAGUCUGGCUCAACCAGAUAAAGGCAGUGGAGACUACAAAGCUAGAGUACGUUCGGGGCAGAGGGAAUUCCUGGUGUAGCGGUGAAAUGCGUAGAGAUCAGGAAGAACACCGGUGGCGAAAGCGCUCUGCUAGGCCGUAACUGACACUGAGGGACGAAAGCUAGGGGAGCGAAUGGGAUUAGAUACCCCAGUAGUCCUAGCCGUAAACGAUGGAUACUAGGUGUUGCUUGUAUCGACCCGAGCAGUACCGUAGCUAACGCGUUAAGUAUCCCGCCUGGGGAGUACGCAGGCAACUGUGAAACUCAAAGGAAUUGACGGGGGCCCGCACAAGCGGUGGAGUAUGUGGUUUAAUUCGAUGCAACGCGAAGAACCUUACCAGGGCUUGACAUGUCGCGAAUCUCAGGGAAACUUGAGAGUGCCUUCGGGAGCGCGAACACAGGUGGUGCAUGGCUGUCGUCAGCUCGUGUCGUGAGAUGUUGGGUUAAGUCCCGCAACGAGCGCGACCCUCGUUUUUAGUUGCCAUCAUUAAGUUGGGCACUCUAGAGAGACUGCCGGUGACAAACCGGAGGAAGGUGGGGAUGACGUCAAGUCAGCAUGCCCCUUACGUCCUGGGCUACACACGUACUACAAUGCUACGAACAGAGGGCAGCAAGCUAGCGAUAGCAAGCUAAUCCCGGAAAUCGUAGCUCAGUUCAGAUCGCAGGCUGCAACCCGCCUGCGUGAAGUUGGAAUCGCUAGUAAUUGCAGGUCAGCAUACUGCAGUGAAUUCGUUCCCGGGCCUUGUACACACCGCCCGUCACACCAUGGAAGCUGGUAGUGCCCGAAGUCAUUACACCAACUUUCGAGAGGGGGAUGCCUAAGGCAGGA
RNAcentral lists this ribosomal RNA (1075 nucleotides) under Stigonema ocellatum CBFS A-032. RNAcentral describes it as "bacterial SSU rRNA". It matches the Rfam family "Bacterial small subunit ribosomal RNA", at positions 376 to 1467 of the family's 1533-position model. Lineage: Bacteria; Bacillati; Cyanobacteriota; Cyanophyceae; Nostocales; Stigonemataceae. The record is from RNAcentral.